GGCGUUGUGCCAGAUAAAAUGGGUCAUCUUGAUGCGGUGAAUUAUAGGAUUAUUGCCUCGACGUUU
This 66-nucleotide transfer RNA is filed under the name Lutraria maxima. RNAcentral describes it as "tRNA-Ile". The record is from RNAcentral. Lineage: Eukaryota; Metazoa; Mollusca; Bivalvia; Venerida; Mactridae.